CCAGGUUCAUCUUCUACAGCUGUUAGCUCAUCUUGGGAGGGGAGUAGAGACCAUGAGGUGCUGUCUUCUGGCUCAGAGACCAACCCUAUUGUCUCCUUGACCACUUCAAUCGUAGAAGAUUCAACCAGAGAUAUCUCAGCUCCUGUGACUGGAGAGGUCAGUAUAGGGAGAUUGAGUCAAGAGCCCAGUACCAGCCUGGGAGAGAUCCCAGCCUCCUCAGAGGACACAGCACCCACGGGGAUGAGCCCUAUUUCUCAGCAGGUAUCUCCUGCUAGGAGCACAGAGCUCUCUCCAGGUGUCACACCUGUUGCUGGCCCAUCAAUUCUGCCAGCCAGUGACCUGCCCACCAAAUCCGCAUUAAGCCCUGGCACACUAGAAGAAGCCAGGUCAGCUUCCGCUCCUUCUCCAGGCACGUGGCUCAGCCCUUCAUCCAUUUCUCCCAUGUCCACAUCAGAGAACAAUGGAGCUUCUCCUCCCAGGACCACUUCUUCAAGCCCCACAGAGCUCAUGCCAGAUGUCUCGACGUCUGUUCCAGCCAGCGAUUCAAAUAAUGUCGUAUCCACCUUCUCAGAGAAGACCAGCAUGGAAACUGAUUCCAGUUCAGCUGCCCCUCCGCGCAGCAGACUGCCAGGCUUCAUUGGCUCAGUUACUGUGACAGGGGCCCCAUGGUCUGCAGAGGAGACCAUCCCCCAGGGCCCACAGCUGGCCACAACAUCAGGGAGUGGCCUCACCCUCAGCCCUCCCCUGACAGAGACUCCACUUUCCAUCACCACAGAUGCUGGCUCAUGGACAACUUCAUCCACCUCUGUGAGCAGCCAAGCAAUGGCAGCAGACACCAGCAUUCCUAUGCUGCUGGGCAGCACCUCUGCUGGGGCCACCAGCCUUGCGUCCAUCCCUUCCUCAGAGGCAGGUUCUCCAGGGCUGUCAAGACCCAGCCCAGACUCCUCUGCUCUGUUCAUCCAAUCGUCAGCCUGGACAAGCACCUCUGCCCCAGGGAUGGCCCCAUCCUCUGGGUCCACUUUGUUCUUUCCCACCACCACCGGGUCGGAGGAGAGCACAGAAGAUAGAGCAACAGGACCAUUCGCACCGUCUUCAAUGGACGUGGAGAGCUCGUGGACAUCUGCCCCUUCCCACUCAGGGAGCACGCUCCAAGCAGACCUCACUUCCUCGGGUAUCAGCCAGAGCCUUGGUCCCAGCAGCCAGAGCGUAGACUUACCCUCACAGGAAGGUACCGGGUCCCCAGCCAGUGAGUCCAAAGUGCCCACCACCACUGUCACUGCUUCAGACACAGGCCUGUCGAGCGGGAGCCCAAUGGCAGCAGGUCCCAGGGAUCCAUCCCCUGCCAGCAGAGAGGCCACGGAGCCCACCAGCCUGCCUGUGGUUGCCUCCACCAUGGGAACCUCCACUUUCAGGAGAGCAGCAGUGAGCAUCCCCCUACACACAGCUCCUGGCUCAGCCCCUGCUCAGUCCACCAGCCUCCCUGUGGGCUCUGCUUCAGGGAGCCAAGGUCUGGAGACACCUAUGACAACCAUGUCCUCUGUGGCAGGAGCCCGCACUUCCACUGACUCUUCUGCUGGCGUGACCACGGCCACUGGCUCCCUCCCGCUUGCUGCUACUUCAGCUGAGGUCCAGGAGGGUCCAGGCUCCAGUGCUCCCUUAGACUCCAACUCACUAGGGGCAAUUUCCUCCACGGCCACCCCUAGUGCAGCCCUGACCACAGGGAGGGACCCUGACACCAAGCCUGCGGAGACUCCUGCCGGUGACUCCUUCCAUACCAGGAUCUCUGCUUCAGGGCCGACAAGCAGCCAGACCCUCGCUCUGUCUUCAGCUGACCCAGGCUCAACUAGCAAAGUGACAGAGACGCCCCCCAUUUCCAUCAUUACCCACACAGUGGCUUCUACCACCUUAGAAAAGUCAGAGGCCCAGACAGGAACUGAGCCCAGCUCAUCUGGGCUGCCUCUGACUAGCCUGAGCAAGACCUUCUCCCCCGAGGAAGGAGGAACAGCCACAGCCAUGCCAUCCACGGAAAGGAGCACAGGGCCCGUGACUCUGGCACCACCUCCACUCUGUCCACAAGUAAGCAGCAACUCCUGCCUUUCCUACUGGGGAUUUUGUUACGCCAUG
Long non-coding RNA from Phascolarctos cinereus (koala), 2124 nucleotides. NCBI's taxonomy places the organism in Eukaryota, Metazoa, Chordata, Mammalia, Diprotodontia, Phascolarctidae. The record is from Ensembl.